Molecule: long non-coding RNA, 2371 nt
Filed under: Sus scrofa (pig)
Lineage: Eukaryota; Metazoa; Chordata; Mammalia; Artiodactyla; Suidae
Description: lncRNA (ENSSSCG00040043366.1)
Source: RNAcentral
GCUCCCUUUUGGGAAAUGAACUUUUGGUGAGCUUUACUCUGUCUACUGGAAGUUGCUAUUGAAUACAUUUUUAAUUAAAGAGAAGUAAAGAGGACACAGUGUCUAUUUUCCACAUUUGAUAUAUAUAACUGAUAUACUUCUUUUUUUUUUUUUUUUUUUUUUUUUUUUUUUUAGGGCCCCACCUGCAUGCAGCAUGUGGAGUUUCCUAGGCUAGGAGUUGAAUUGAAGCUGUAGCUGCUGGCCUACGGCAUAGCCACACCCGAUCUGAGCUGUGUCUGCAACCUACACCACAACUCAUGGCAACGCCAGAUCCUUAACCUACUGAGUGAGGCCAGGGAUCGAACCUGCAACCUCAUAGUUGCAGGUUGAUUUUCAGAUUGAUUUUCUUGCUGCGCCAUGACAGGAACUCCCAUAACUGAUAUACUUUUGACUAAAAUAACAGUUCAUGGAGUUCCCAUCUUGGCACAGCAGAAGUGAAUCCGACCAGGAACCAUGAGGUUGUGGGUUUGAUCCCUGGCCUCACUCAGUGGGUUAGGGAUCUGGCGUUGCAGGUCACAGACUUGGGGCUUGGAUCUCGAGUUGCUGUGGCUGUGGUAAUAGGCUGGCAGCUACAGCUCUAAUCUGACCCCUGACCUUGGAACCUCCAUAUGCUGUGUGGCCCUAAAAAAAAAUUUAAAAAAAUACAGUUCAAUAGCAACAUAUUAUUGAGUGUUAUAUUUCUAUUAAAUGUCCUUGAAACUCUUUUAUUUACAUGUGAAUAUUGUAUAAAUUAAGGGUCGAAAGAUAUUAAUGCAGUAUGACAUUUAAACAUGUGUAAUAGCAAAAACUUAGGACAUAAAUGGGUUUAUAAAGUUGUUCCUAUGUUAGGAUUAUGGAAAUUUUCACAUAGUGUUUUUGAAUGUCCCCACAAUAAGCCUGUAUUCAGACAACACAAACCUCCAGUUAUGGUUUUAAAUAAAAGUGCCUCUCUAAUUUUUCUGGCAACCUGGAACCUAGCCCUGUGGUAAUGUCAAAAGGCCAAAUCCCAGAAUAAAUGUAUUAAGUAGAAGUAACUGCUUCUCACCUGGCCAUUUGUGAUUUCAGUUUCAUGACUUCAGUUUCUACCAAUGCAAACUAGUUGCAUGCAGUUGGCAUUUUCUUAGUGGUCUCUCUUGGAAACAUUCUCUUCAGGCUCCAUGGGGAGAGACUUUAGUAUAAAGAUCUUACAUCUUGAUCCAUUUCUUGCAUUUCAUUAAAACUCCUGUGCAAGAUGGUCUACUUCAAUUAAAAAAAUUUUUUUUUAUCCCAUUAGGUUUUUGCCAAUGGAGUGAUUUUUUAUUCAAUUCUCUAUUAUAACAUACUGCACAAAGGAAUCACUGGAAAAGUUCUUUUAAGGUGUAUUGUUUUCAGCUCAUCAUUUUCAGACAGCAUUCCAAGCACUACCAACAACAAUCUAACAAAGUUCAAAAAUGGCAUUCCUUCUGCCAAGUCUCGUUCUUCCUGGAGCUUAACCAACCCUUGCCUGCUUGGCUUGCCUUGGAUUCCAUACUUCCAAAACCCCUCGGUGAGGAUCCUGAGAACAGGCAGCACAUGCUGGGGUUGGUAGGAGGGAAGAAAAAGCUCAAAACUCUGCUAAUGAGCGCUUUUGUUUUAAAUAGUGUUGAUGUGAUGUCUUACGUUACUUACAGCCACGUAUGGAAAACACUAUCUCCAUGGGUCUAGAUAUGUUCUGGUGUUAUUGAUAAGUAUCCAUUCAUCCCAGUUAUGUCAGAUGAACUAAUCCCCAGCCUAGUUUAAAUAUAAUCUGAUAAUCAAACUGUUCACUUUAAACAGUACUCAGUUGCCGGGAUAAAAGUUGUCAAGUGUCUCAAUCUCUUGACCCCUGGCAGAUGAUAGAUGCUCAAUAUUCAGUGGUCAAAGGCUUAAGUCAAUGUAUUUUCUGUACCAAGUGGCUCAGCAGCUACCCUGCAACUGUUAACUCCCUGUCUUUUUCUUCUGCAGGUAAAGCCACCCCAUCAGUCACUUCUACUUAAAAUGCCUCAUCCUUGUGGUUCAUAAGAGUGCCCCCAUGGCUAUGUUCUAGAUUAUUCUAUAGCAAUCUUGAUAACUAUUGUGAUAGCAAUCUUAAAGUUAAUUUUAAAUCCAGUCAUCCUAGAUUUUGGAAGUUUUUGGUGCCACCUUCUGAGAGGCCAUCUAGAAGUUAGGGUUCAGAUAAGUGCCUAAUGCUUUUUUUUUUUUUAAUGUGUUCCUUUUAUUUUUUAUUUAUUUUUAAAACGUAUUCCUUUUAAACAAGUGGCAAAAUAGCUUUUGCAUAUUCUCUUAAGAUAAGAAACAUGUCUUUCUUAGUUUUUAUGGGGAGGUGAUUUUACAAAUAAAACAUGCUGUGUCUUUG